Molecule: long non-coding RNA, 627 nt
Filed under: Mus musculus (house mouse)
Lineage: Eukaryota; Metazoa; Chordata; Mammalia; Rodentia; Muridae
Description: predicted gene, 26713
Source: RNAcentral
GACUUGUAACUCUUUAGCAGUGUUCUCCUGUAUUUCUUUAAGUGAUUUAUUAAAGUCCUUCUUGAUGUCCUCUACCAUCAUCAUGAGAUAUGCUUUUAAAUCUAGGUCUAGGUUCUCAGGUGAUGGAUCUUUUCAUCCUGUCCUUACAAUAUCCAGAUUUUUCAAAUAUAUUCAUUAGAACUGCAGCCAAGACCAGGGCAGACAACAUUGGACUGAAGAAAUGACUACAAGUACUGAAUUAUUUAAAAACCAAUGGAUAACUUAGAUAAGAGCAGCCUCUCUGAUGAGCGUAUGGACUGUGAAGUUCUGCUGACAUAUGACUGGCCUACUCAGCACCAUCAAUUUGAUGAAGAGGUGAUAUUCUGGAGAGCUGGAAAGUAACUUAACUUUGAAAGCAUGUUACAGGGUCUCUCUAUGUAGACAUUGCUAGAAGCUAGCUUCCAAAUCACAAAGAUCUUCCUGCCUGUGCCUCCCAAGUGCAGGAAUUAAAGGCAUGUGUAACCACGCCCAGCAUGAACAGUUUUACUGUUACUUGCUAUAAUUUAUUAUUAUUUACUAUGCCCAGUUUUGCUAUUAAUUACUGAUUGCCACUGUUAACUGGUACUAUCCUUGAUUUGUUUAAUACUA